This is a long non-coding RNA of Perca fluviatilis (European perch), 3010 nucleotides long. RefSeq lists it as uncharacterized. The transcript has 2 exons. NCBI's taxonomy places the organism in Eukaryota, Metazoa, Chordata, Actinopteri, Perciformes, Percidae. The record is from RefSeq and is a predicted model, not a curated record.
AGAGCAGAAAAGUGAACUAGACUUAUCAGUCAGGAGUCUCCAACCAGAAACCCCCAAAAAAUGGACCAUCCCUGUCCCUGGCAUCCAUUUAGACUUCCGGGACUGUGUGGUCUCAGGGGAACGAUGUGUUUCCUUUUCACAGCUGCAUUAAUUAUAGUGAUACCAAUAAUAUGGCACGAUGUACAGCUACUAAGAGACAGGGAAAUAGCCAAAAGUAAUGCUACAUGCUGAAUCUGAAUCUGACCACUGAUCCACAACCGCGCAUACCAACCAUGCUUAACCAUGACCAUCGACGAAUAAAACAAAGUCACCAUACCACCCACUCAAUUACAUUAACCAGGGGUAGAACGCAGUCAUUUACUGUGGACCCAUGUUCAGGCCAACAAUUUGUGUGCAAAGCGAGAGGGAGGGCUACUGAUCAAGCCUGUCUCUGCACAGAGAACUGUACUGAUUGGGACCAUGUUUUCCAACACUCAGAUUCCGAGGGUUACAAAGCCAACACUGAGCAGACGUCCAGAUGGACUUUAAUUAAAAAGAAGUUGAAUAGCCAGUCACCUGGUUGGGAUAGUAUAGUGACAGUGAGCAAUGUAAACAAAGCAAACCAGGGUAUCUGAGAGAAUUGCUAUCCACGUACAAGAACUUCCAGUCAUUGAACCUGAAACAACCUUUAAUUUCCAAGAUCAAAUUGUCACCUAUCCCACUGACUUGACCCGCAAAGAUAAAACAGCUAUGGAACAAUUGCAUAAGCAUGCUCCACUGGGAGGCCACAGUUAGGCCCUAUUCAAAUUGAACAACAAAAAGAUGCCACAGGUUUGCAAUGUGUCCUUAGAUAUCAUACAUUGCAUUUUUCUAUUUCUAGGUAAUCAUAACUGGCCAUUGUUGUCUGCUCUUCCUAACUGUUUGUGAGAAAAGCCAUCUGACCUGAUAAGUGAGUUGCUCUUCCUGAGUAUCUGUGAGAGGACUAUCUGACCUAUAUGAAAGGCAUCACCGGACCGGGAAAAUAAUUGAGCUGAUUAAAAAGACUCUCAGAUCGGGAGAAGCAGAGAACAAGGCAACAUCCAACCGAUAACAGCACCACCAAGGAUGGGCAGAGAAAAUGUAAAAAAGUACGAGAGUCUGUCGGUAGGGCGAGGGAGAUGGUUUUGAAGGAGAACUGCGUCGAUAUGCAUAUGUAUUUUACUCUGCAAUAUCAUUCACUAAAGCUUUGAUAUAACUUAUCUGAGCAAAUCCUGUGUCUUGAUUUGAUUCUGAUCUACCAGAUAACGAAUACUUAAAAGUUAUAGGUUCAAGGUGAAUUGACCACAAAUUGGAGUCAAAAGACUCUGGCCAGACUUGAGGCCAGAGCAGAAUUUCGGUCAAAAUCCUUCAUAAUAUUGAAGGCGACAUGAUUGACACGUCCGAGCUUACGUGGCAGCGUGUACCAUCUGUGCUCAGGGAAAAGCCUCUCACCAGUCUCCCUUGGGUCUCCUGCAACCUCUCCCUGUUCCGAGUUGUCCCUGGUCCCAUGUCGCUCUGGAUUUUGUUACGGAUCUUCCUAAAUCUGAAGUUAAUGAUACAAUACUUACCAGCAUGGACAGAUUCUCUAAAUCUGCUCACUAUGUAGCAUUACCAAAAUUACCGACUGCCAGUGAGACAGCGACCUCAUUGUCCAACAUGUAUUCCGUCCCCAUGGAAUACCUGUGGACAUAGUUUCUGAUAGAGGCCCACAAUGUAUUUCACGUGUUUGGAAAGAGUUCUGUUCUGCUCUCGGCGCUUCUGUUAGCCUAUCCUCAGUUUUCCAUCUGCAGUCCAAUGGCCAGACAGAGAGGGCCAAUCAGGACCUGGAAGCGUCCCUUCGUGUCCCUGUGUGACUGCUCAACAUCCUUCCACUUGGGCUAAACAUCUCCCAUGGAUCGAGUAUGCUCACAAUUCUCUGACCACGUCUGCCACCGGCCUUUCUCCGUUCGAGGUUCGAGGAGAACCUAUGCCGAUGCCAUAGAGUUUGGUGUGACGCCCGUGAGGUGCUGCUCUGGACCACGUGGGACAAGAAAGUGGCGGAUAGGCAUAGGAUCCCUGCACCCCCGUUCCAGCCGGGACAGGAGGUUUGGCUCUCCUCCAGGAAUGUCCCUCUGCGUACCGAGUCCCGCAAAUUGCCGGCUCGGUAUUUGCGUCCAUUUGUCAUUGAGUCCGUCAUUAACCCCUCUGCUGUUCGGUUAAAGCUGCCGCAGGCCAUGAAGAUCCAUCCCACUUUCUAUGUGUCCCAACUGAAACAUGUGGCUUCAAGCCCUUUGUGCCCUCCUAUGGAUCCCCCACCUCCAGUACAUCUCAUAGACGACCAUCCAGCCUACACGGUCCAGAGUCUGGCGGGGUAGGGGGCUCCAAUAUCUGGUUGAUUGGGAGGGUUAUGGGCCGAAGGAGAGGUCUUGGAUUCCCAGAAGGUUCAUUCUGGACCCACAGUUAGUGACGGACGUUCACCGGGACCAUCCAGACAAACCUCAACCUAGCGGGGCGCCCGUUGAGGGGGGGGUACUGUUAUGGGUCAGCUGUUUUCCCUUUCCGUUUGUGUGUUCUCUCCCCUUUUCCCUGUGUGUCUUUCUGUGUUGGUUUUCCACCUGAAGGUUGAUGGAGGCAUGGUCGAGGAAAGUAGGUCAAGGGGCGUGGACGUUCUUCUCUGCACAAAUACCUGCUCAGCUGCAGCUCAUUCCAUGAUUCAACCCAGCAGUAUUUAUAUCCGGGCUGAUCCCUUCAUCGGCGCCAGUUCGUUACGACAAUCCAUGUGACCUGCUGCCUUCCCUGCUGUUCCUGUUGAGCUUCCAGUUCACACCAUUCAGUCUCGUCAUCACUGGGAUUUCUCUCUGUGUAUCUGAGUGUACUCACCUCUGCCUGCUCGCCUCGUGUCCCAGACCUACUUGGAUUCUCCUCCGUCGGCCCACCUCUAGCCUCGGAUCUGCCCCGGAGCUUCCCUGCCCAAACUCUACCGUCAUUGCCUCCUUUAAGUACAAUAUGUUUAUUAAACGCCUUCAAAACUGAA